CGCGGCCUAUCAGCUUGUUGGUGGGGUAACGGCCUACCAAGGCGACGACGGGUAGCCGGCCUGAGAGGGCGACCGGCCACACUGGGACUGAGACACGGCCCAGACUCCUACGGGAGGCAGCAGUGGGGAAUAUUGCGCAAUGGGCGAAAGCCUGACGCAGCGACGCCGCGUGGGGGAUGAAGGCCUUCGGGUUGUAAACCCCUUUCAGCAGGGACGAAGCGAAAGUGACGGUACCUGCAGAAGAAGCGCCGGCUAACUACGUGCCAGCAGCCGCGGUAACACGUAGGGCGCAAGCGUUGUCCGGAAUUAUUGGGCGUAAAGAGCUCGUAGGCGGUCUGUUGCGUCCGCUGUGAAAACUCGGGGCUUAACCCCGGGUCUGCAUUCGAUACGGGCAGACUAGAGUGUGGUAGGGGAGAUCGGAAUUCCUGGUGUAGCGGUGAAAUGCGCAGAUAUCAGGAGGAACACCGGUGGCGAAGGCGGAUCUCUGGGCCAUUACUGACGCUGAGGAGCGAAAGCGUGGGGAGCGAACAGGAUUAGAUACCCUGGUAGUCCACGCCGUAAACGGUGGGAACUAGGUGUUGGCGACAUUCCACGUCGUCGGUGCCGCAGCUAACGCAUUAAGUUCCCCGCCUGGGGAGUACGG
This 643-nucleotide ribosomal RNA is filed under the name uncultured bacterium. RNAcentral describes it as "bacterial SSU rRNA". It matches the Rfam family "Bacterial small subunit ribosomal RNA", at positions 232 to 885 of the family's 1533-position model. The record is from RNAcentral.